RNAcentral lists this ribosomal RNA (1127 nucleotides) under Gammaproteobacteria bacterium. RNAcentral's name for it is "bacterial SSU rRNA". It matches the Rfam family "Bacterial small subunit ribosomal RNA", at positions 1 to 1085 of the family's 1533-position model. Lineage: Bacteria; Pseudomonadati; Pseudomonadota; Gammaproteobacteria. The record is from RNAcentral.
GAACUGAAGAGUAUGAUCAUGGCUCAGAUUGAACGUUGGCGGCAGGCCUCAUACAUGCAAGUCGAACGCGAAAGGCCCUUCGGGGCUGAGUAGAGUGGCGAACGGGUGAGUAACGCGUAGGAAUCUACCCGGCAGUGGGGGACAACUCGGGGAAACUCGAGCUAAUACCGCAUGUGAUCUCCGGCAUUCGUGCCGGAGAUGAAAGCGGGGGAUCUCCCGCCGCGACUUCGGUUGCGGCGGAAGGACCUCGCGCUGUCGGAGGAGCCUGCGUUGGAUUAGCUUGUUGGUGGGGUAAUGGCCUACCAAGGCGACGAUCCAUAGCUGGUCUGAGAGGACGAUCAGCCACACUGGGACUGAGACACGGCCCAGACGGCUACGGUCGGCAGCAGUAGGGAAUAUUGCACAAUGGGCGAAAGCCUGAUGCAGCCAUGCCGCGUGUGUGAAGAAGGCCUUAGGGUUGUAAAGCACUUUCAGUGGCGAAGAAAAAGCCGGCGCUAAUACCGCCGGUCAUUGACGUUAACCACAGAAGAAGCACCGGCCAACUCCGUGCCAGCAGCCGCGGUAAUACGGAGGGUGCGAACGUUAAUCGGAAUUACUGGGCGUAAAGCGCGCGUAGGCGGUUUGUUAAGUGAGAUGUGAAAUCCCCGGGCUCAACCUGGGAACUGCGUUUCAAACUGACAAACUAGAGUUCAGUAGAGGGAGGUGGAAUUUCCUGUGUAGCGGUGGAAUGCGUAGAUAUAGGAAGGAACACCAGUGGCGAAGGCGGCCUCCUGGACUGAAACUGACGCUCAUGUGCGAAAGCGUGGGGAGCAAACAGGAUUAGAUACCCUGGUAGUCCACGCCGUAAACGAUGAGAACUAGCCGUUGGGCCCCUUGAGGGAUUGGUGGCGCAGCUAACGCGAUAAGUUCUCCGCCUGGGGAGUACGGCCGCAAGGUUAAAACUCAAGUGAAUUGACGGGGGCCCGCACAAGCGGUGGAGCAUGUUGUUUAAUUCGAGGCUACGCGAAGAACCUUACCACCACUUGACAUCCACGGAACUUUCCAGAGAUGGAUUGGUGCCUUCGGGAACCGUGUGACAGGUGCUGCAUGGCUGUCGUCAGCUCGUGUCGUGAGAUGUUGGGUUAAGU